UAUUUUCGUACUUGCCAAUUUUAAAGGCAAAUGAACAAGGUUUCAUACCAAACUAAUAUUUCCAAAUAUUUAUUUGAUUCUUGUAUGAUCUAGACUUUUAUCUGCAAGAAAAAAUAUAUUUAUGGAGCAAAACAUAUGUUUAUAUUGUGCUCUACAUCUUGAAAAGUGCACAGGUCUCAGCAGAAAAGUAUAUUUGUUUGUAUAAACGGAAGAUGAUAUUUCAAAAAGAAACAUAAAUCGUAGUGGGUCAUUCAGACACAUUCUUGUAGAUUUGGGCCAAAGUUUAUGAUUUGGGGCAUUUUUCCUAUUUUUAUUACCUCCCCUUGAUGCUCUUCGUUUAGGAAAUCACAAAGAGCUUAUCUAAGUUUACUUCCUGGAUUAUGCUGAAUUCAGAUUUCUACUCGGAUUUUGCAAAUUUUUAGUAUAUUGAUACAAUGACAGUCAGAGAUUUUAUGCUAAAUGGGCAUGUGAUGCUUGGAUGUGUCCCUUCAAACCAAGUCCACGUUUAAAAUUUGCUGAAUAGCGACAUUGUUUGGGAAAAAUACUCUGGCAGAAAAGAGUCUAAACUGUGGAUAGACAUCAGAGUCUGACAUCUGUCUGUUUAUUUCCAUAAGUGAAGUUUGUAUCAACUGACUGAAGGAUCAGUGUUAAAGGAUAACACUACAAUGAAAACAGCUGUGAGUUGUUUCUUUUGAAAAUGACUGUUUGAUGAUAAAGUUUCAAACAACUAUGAAGUGAGUGGAUGUUCUAGAGAGAAAAGGACCCUCUGCACAUGUAUGAGAAACAGAUUUUACUUUUAAAGUGGCCCAUAUAAUGUUGAAAAGGAUGAAAUCCUGUAUCUGUCAAAAUGUAACAACAGUAACAACCAUUUUAGUUUGAUUUGUGUUUUACUAGACUAAUUCUCCAAAGAAUGAAUGAUCAUCAUCAUGCUUAUAUUGGAAUAAAAGGAAGGAAGGUAUCUACAUUUUAUUUAUAGUUUAUCUUAGUGUCUGAUCAGGUCUGAUUUCAGAUCUUUAUAAAUGCUUGAUUGAAUGUUAUUUUUUGACAGAAUAUUUAUGAG
Long non-coding RNA from Mercenaria mercenaria, 1060 nucleotides. RefSeq lists it as uncharacterized. The transcript has 3 exons. NCBI's taxonomy places the organism in Eukaryota, Metazoa, Mollusca, Bivalvia, Venerida, Veneridae. The record is from RefSeq and is a predicted model, not a curated record.